Molecule: long non-coding RNA, 616 nt
Organism: Aquila chrysaetos chrysaetos
Lineage: Eukaryota; Metazoa; Chordata; Aves; Accipitriformes; Accipitridae
Exons: 4
Source: RefSeq, a predicted model, not a curated record
UUUUGUUUUUUUAGUUUAUGCAGUUCCAGUUUCUUACAGAAAUACUAAGUACUUAAAUAGCAUCAUCAUAUUGGUAUGAUUAAGCUCACAAGUGGGUUAUUUUGUGGGAAUACUAACAAUGGUCCAAACCAGUUUAUCAAAUCAUAGUCUAAUACUCAGCUGUAGUGGUUCUGGGUCACUGAAGCUUAAAAAAGUAGAAGUUAUCCUUGUGAGUUUAAUGUUAGUGGCUCUUGGUGUCCAGCGGUGGCAACCUUUCUGAACUGAUGUCAUGACAAGAAACUUGUAACUUCAUGUUUGAACAUGCCCUGUGGAGUAUGUCUUAGCAUUUCAGUCCACUACCAAGACACCUGUACAAGUUCCUGCAGAGACACUGAAGAUCAAAAUGUAUACUGAAAGGAGAUUGGAGCAGGAGGCAGCUUUCUCCCAUGAGGUCAGCUUGGGAAAUAAUAUUGGGUUGCUAAAGAAGGGGAAAGUGAAGGAGAAAGCACCAUAAGAGUAUGCAGUUGUAACAGAUUGUCCAACAUGCAGUCGUAAUGUACUCUACAAAGGACUUUCUCUUCGACCAAAGCAAACUCCUCUCCAGUAGAAAGCUGUCUUUUGCAGGAGAAGCACGCGA